This 490-nucleotide ribosomal RNA is filed under the name uncultured bacterium. RNAcentral describes it as "partial 16S ribosomal RNA". It matches the Rfam family "Bacterial small subunit ribosomal RNA", at positions 30 to 507 of the family's 1533-position model. The record is from RNAcentral.
AUUGAACGCUGGCGGCAGGCCUAACACAUGCAAGUCGAACGGUAACAGGAAGCAGCUUGCUGCUUCGCUGACGAAUGGCGGACGGGUGAGUAAUGUCUGGGAAGCUGCCUGAUGGAGGGGGAUAACUACUGGAAACGGUAGCUAAUACCGCAUAAUGUCGCAAGACCAAAGAGGGGGACCUUCGGGCCUCUUGCCAUCGGAUGUGCCCAGAUGGGAUUAGCUUGUUGGUGGGGUAACGGCUCACCAAGGCGACGAUCCCUAGCUGGUCUGAGAGGAUGACCAGCCACACUGGAACUGAGACACGGUCCAGACUCCUACGGGAGGCAGCAGUGGGGAAUAUUGCACAAUGGGCGCAAGCCUGAUGCAGCCAUGCCGCGUGUAUGAAGAAGGCCUUCGGGUUGUAAAGUACUUUCAGCGGGGAGGAAGGGAGUAAAGUUAAUACCUUUGCUCAUUGACGUUACCCGCAGAAGAAGCACCGGCUAACUCCGUG